ACAUAUGAUGCAUGAAAUGGGGUAUGUCC
Molecule: non-coding RNA, 29 nt
Filed under: Homo sapiens (human)
Lineage: Eukaryota; Metazoa; Chordata; Mammalia; Primates; Hominidae
Source: RNAcentral